GGCCGAGACCCAGAGAAGGUCAGGGUCUUGCCCUGAUCUAGGCAAAGAGGUACCUGCAUCGUCCACCUCGGACACAGGGAUCUCUCUGGUCUUCUCCUGGCUGGCUCUCCUGCUCUGCUCAGUCUGAAGCCAGAAGCCGUCAUCUUGGCAAAGACUUCCUGGUUUUGCUGGGCUCCCUCCUGUCUUCAGCACCAUCUCGUCCAAGGACAUUCUUCAGUGCCGUGCGGGUAAGGGACGCCAUGUGACAGCUGCAUCUUGCCGAAGGUCCCGGUCCCUGACCCGAGGUGCACUUGCUCUAUCAUGACCUGCAAUGCUGACACCUUCUGAAGAAACAAGCCGGAGUCCAUCAUGUCGUCAACCGCCCUGUGCUGUGCAUCCGCCGCAUGCGUGCGCUUGCGCAGUGCAUCUUAGGCAACGCCGCUCUUGAGCAGGCGCAAAUACAGGGCCCCGCCCUUCGUUUCCAGGGUCACGCACAAGGCUUCUUCUUCCCACCCAACUACGCACCCGGUCCCGCCCCGAGCCUUUCCGCUCGACCCAGUGUGCGACACAAUAAAAGCAAGAAGGACACCGAAAAGGA
Molecule: long non-coding RNA, 577 nt
Organism: Arvicola amphibius (Eurasian water vole)
Lineage: Eukaryota; Metazoa; Chordata; Mammalia; Rodentia; Cricetidae
Exons: 2
Source: RefSeq, a predicted model, not a curated record